RNAcentral lists this ribosomal RNA (438 nucleotides) under Streptomyces sp. Its description in RNAcentral is "bacterial SSU rRNA". It matches the Rfam family "Bacterial small subunit ribosomal RNA", at positions 39 to 468 of the family's 1533-position model. The record is from RNAcentral. Lineage: Bacteria; Bacillati; Actinomycetota; Actinomycetes; Kitasatosporales; Streptomycetaceae.
GCGGCGUGCCUAAUACAUGCAAGUCGAGCGGACUUAAAAAGCUUGCUUUUUAAGUUAGCGGCGGACGGGUGAGUAACACGUGGGCAACCUGCCUGUAAGACUGGGAUAACUUCGGGAAACCGGAGCUAAUACCGGAUAAUCCUUUCCUACUCAUGUAGGAAAGCUGAAAGACGGUUUACGCUGUCACUUACAGAUGGGCCCGCGGCGCAUUAGCUAGUUGGUGAGGUAACGGCUCACCAAGGCGACGAUGCGUAGCCGACCUGAGAGGGUGAUCGGCCACACUGGGACUGAGACACGGCCCAGACUCCUACGGGAGGCAGCAGUAGGGAAUCUUCCGCAAUGGACGAAAGUCUGACGGAGCAACGCCGCGUGAGUGAUGAAGGUUUUCGGAUCGUAAAACUCUGUUGUUAGGGAAGAACAAGUACGAGAGUAACUGCU